ACUCCUACGGGAGGCAGCAGUGGGGAAUCUUGGACAAUGGGGGCGAACCCUGAUCCAGCCAUGCCGCGUGAGUGAUGAAGGCCCUAGGGUCGUAAAGCUCUUUCGCCAGGGAUGAUAAUGACAGUACCUGGUAAAGAAACCCCGGCUAACUCCGUGCCAGCAGCCGCGGUAAUACGGAGGGGGUUAGCGUUGUUCGGAAUUACUGGGCGUAAAGCGCGCGUAGGCGGACUGGAAAGUUGGGGGUGAAAUCCCCAGGGGCUCAACCCUGGAACUGCCUCCAAAACUAUCAGUCUAGAGUUCGAGAGAGGUGAGUGGAAUUCCGAGUGUAGAGGUGAAAUUCGUAGAUAUUCGGAGGAACACCAGUGGCGAAGGCGGCUCACUGGCUCGAUACUGACGCUGAGGUGCGAAAGUGUGGGGAGCAAACAGGAUUAGAUACCCUGGUAGGAUAGCG
Molecule: ribosomal RNA, 451 nt
Filed under: uncultured bacterium
Lineage: Bacteria
Description: bacterial SSU rRNA
Rfam family: Bacterial small subunit ribosomal RNA
Source: RNAcentral